This is a small nuclear RNA of Mus caroli (Ryukyu mouse), 107 nucleotides long. NCBI's taxonomy places the organism in Eukaryota, Metazoa, Chordata, Mammalia, Rodentia, Muridae. The record is from RefSeq and is a predicted model, not a curated record.
GUGCUGGCUUUGUAAGCACAUAUACUAAAAUUGGAAGGAUACAGAGAAGAUUAGCAUGGCCGCUGCCCAAGGAUGACAUGCAAAUUCAUGAAGCGUUCCAUACUUUU